CUUAAUGGAAUGUAAGCCUUACAUUGCUAAUACUUUGUUCCUUUCAAAUCUUUAUAACAUUAUGUUGUUUUCUCUAUGAAAUCUUGUUGUAUCUUUUGGUUAUGACCUUAUGAUUUGGAGAUAACCCAUAACGCUUGAUGUUUUAUAUGUAGGAGAAAAGUGAUAAAUAUGAUCACCUGGACAUUGAGAUUGUUUGCAAGGAGUAGUCUCAAAUGUCCACCGGUUGUAGGGUAAGUUUCCUUCGAGAUCUUCUUCUGUAACAAUCAUUCUCUUAUCUAACCUUUUGGAAUGUUAACAGACACAAUUGAUACAUUUCUUCUACUCCCAUCUCUCAAUCUGGUAUAGUUUACUUUCCCAUUUUGUUAUGCCCUUUCCAAACUAUUUUUGUUGUAUUUUGUUGUUUCUAAUUUAUUUUAGUAGUUCUUAGAUUAUGGAGUAGAUCUUGGCUUGGGAACUGAAACUCAUUUAAGCAUAUCUAGAAACUAGCCUUUUUUUGUAUUUAUUUCAUUUAAGUAGAUCUAGAAACAAGAUCUAUAUAAAAACUAACAUUUAUUUGUAUUUUUGUUUAUUUCAGCAACCCUGGAAUCAGAGAUCUUUUCAUCACCUUAGGUUGUAGCCUCUAAUGUGUAGGUAAAGUGUUGCUAAUUUAUUUUUUUAUAGAUAUCUGUCUAUGUCUAGAAAGCUCAAUGUGUUGCCACUCUUGAUGGUGAAGGGUGAAAAUGUCUCUAAUUGAUGACGUUUCUUCAAGAUAUGCUUAGAGAGGUUUAAGAGGUUUAGAACUUUAAAUGGAUCCCAAUGGUUGCAGUUUUCUUACUCCAGGUUUGACAUGGAUUCUGCAACAUGGUUAAGGCCAUCGAAGGCUAUUUUUGAAAACAAAUCAGAGUUGUGUUAUUUUUCCUAUGACCAGGUAUGCACAAUUGACUUGGUGGAAGCUUUUUUUUUUUUUUGCAAUUUUUUUGAGAUCUGUGUUGGUUGUUUACAUAUGCUAUUAUUAUGAUAUGGAGGGUGUAAUGGUCAAAGUAAGUUAACAAUACUAUCAUUCAAGGUUUACUGUUAUUAUGUUUUUUGAGAGCUUUAUUAAUUUUAUAUGCUAAGAAAAAUAAAAUUUAUAAACUUUCAGAAAGCUGCAGAUGAUUUGAGAGGGGAUGCUUUGAGAGGGGUGUUAUAGACGGAUUAAUUGAUUUAGAUUCAGAUAAGGUGCAACAACUAUGUGAUAAAAUAACACUUAAUUUCUAAUAGUAAUUUAAUAAAAAGUUUGGUUCUUUGGUUAACA
Lactuca sativa (garden lettuce) is the source of this 1273-nucleotide non-coding RNA. The record is from RefSeq and is a predicted model, not a curated record. Lineage: Eukaryota; Viridiplantae; Streptophyta; Magnoliopsida; Asterales; Asteraceae.